Molecule: ribosomal RNA, 496 nt
Filed under: uncultured bacterium
Lineage: Bacteria
Description: partial 16S ribosomal RNA
Rfam family: Bacterial small subunit ribosomal RNA
Source: RNAcentral
GAUGAACGCUGGCGGCGUGCCUAAUACAUGCGAGUCGAGCGAACAGACGAGGAGCUUGCUCCUCUGACGUUAGCGGCGGACGGGUGAGUAACACGUGGAUAACCUACCUAUAAGACUGGGAUAACUUCGGGAAACCGGAGCUAAUACCGGAUAACAUGUUGAACCGCAUGGUUCAACAGUGAAGGACGGUCUUGCUGUCACUUAUAGAUGGAUCCGCGCCGCAUUAGCUAGUUGGUAAGGUAACGGCUUACCAAGGCAACGAUGCGUAGCCGACCUGAGAGGGUGAUCGGCCACACUGGAACUGAGACACGGUCCAGACUCCUACGGGAGGCAGCAGUAGGGAAUCUUCCGCAAUGGGCGAAAUCCUGACGGAGCAACGCCGCGUGAGUGAAGAAGGUCUUCGGAUCGUAAAACUCUGUUAUUAGGGAAGAACAAAUGUGUAAGUAACUAUGCACGUCUUGACGGUACCUAAUCAGAAAGCCACGGCUAACUACGU